Molecule: long non-coding RNA, 387 nt
Filed under: Anser cygnoides (Swan goose)
Lineage: Eukaryota; Metazoa; Chordata; Aves; Anseriformes; Anatidae
Description: lncRNA (ENSACDG00005009870.1)
Source: RNAcentral
AUGUUUUGCCCAAACUCGGGGCUCUCGAGGCUGAUGAGCUCACCUCGGAGCCCCAUCCACGCCCGGCAGCCUUCGCACGAAGCGGCUGCACCGGGCUCUGAGCAAGAGAAGGGCGAAAACGGAGCGGCCGGCGGAGCAGAAGGAAGUGCCGCCGGGGCCACUCCUCCGCGCCAUUUCCUCCCUGCGCCUGGGUUUUUAUACAGAUGCGAGGGGCAGCACGGCGGCCGGCCCGUCCGAGGCCUCAGCCUGGGCUGGGGCGACCGAAGGGGAGCGCCGGCGGCCGGCCCCGAGGAGAGGCUGCGGGUCCCUGCGCUCCGUCCGGCCCCGUCCCCUGCAUGCCCUGCGGCCUCGCACGCACCGAGCUCUGAAAAAAAUAUGAUGUGAAUG